Long non-coding RNA from Aedes aegypti (yellow fever mosquito), 492 nucleotides. RefSeq lists it as uncharacterized. The transcript is spliced from 2 exons. Lineage: Eukaryota; Metazoa; Arthropoda; Insecta; Diptera; Culicidae. The record is from RefSeq and is a predicted model, not a curated record.
GCAAACUCAGUCUGUCGAAUCGAAUCAUCGAUAAAACAUAAAGAUGAAAAGAUUUGAAGUGAUUUCAAACUGUGAACUGCAUACAGCAAUAGAUCCAGCGUUGAAGACAUCCCUUGUGCAACAAUCAAACGGUAAUCCUGCUGCUCUUUCGCCUACGCUUUGACAAGUCUGGAGAUUAAAACCAAAUCGGAAUCAACUACCAAGUAAGAGCUGAAGCAGAUGAAUUUGCCCAAAACAUGGGGAAAAUUUCUAGAAAAAGAAAGCGCCGACUCCUAACGAGGAAAAUGUUUGUCCGAGAAAGAGAAGAGACCGAUAGACCCGAAGGAAAAAAACAGCAAAUGAGUUGAUUUUCCAGUGCCGGAGAGAAAAGUUCCGGAUGGUUCAGUUCACAAUUCGGGUAAGAAGCAGGAACUAUUUCCUGUCGGAGAUUUUACUCAGUUUCAAUAUUUGUUUUUGAAUACUUUGAUGUUACACUUGAAAUAAAAUGUGAAU